This 52-nucleotide transfer RNA is filed under the name Pseudomonas aeruginosa. RNAcentral describes it as "tRNA-Ser". It matches the Rfam family "tRNA", at positions 24 to 71 of the family's 71-position model. From Rfam's summary of the family: Transfer RNA (tRNA) molecules are approximately 80 nucleotides in length. Lineage: Bacteria; Pseudomonadati; Pseudomonadota; Gammaproteobacteria; Pseudomonadales; Pseudomonadaceae. The record is from RNAcentral. RNAcentral also lists the same sequence under 6 other names.
UACCGGCCUGUCACGCCGGGGGUCGCGGGUUCGAGUCCCGUCCGCUGCGCCA